GGUGGAAGCGUGGAAUCUCGGAUCUAAACUAAUUGUUCAGGCAUUUAUACUUUUGGGUAGUUCAGCUAGGGAAGG
RNAcentral lists this transfer RNA (75 nucleotides) under Saccharomyces cerevisiae YJM1244. RNAcentral's name for it is "partial tRNA-Val". The record is from RNAcentral. Lineage: Eukaryota; Fungi; Ascomycota; Saccharomycetes; Saccharomycetales; Saccharomycetaceae.